Molecule: long non-coding RNA, 297 nt
Organism: Coregonus clupeaformis (lake whitefish)
Lineage: Eukaryota; Metazoa; Chordata; Actinopteri; Salmoniformes; Salmonidae
Exons: 4
Source: RefSeq, a predicted model, not a curated record
UUGGUGUUGGUGAUAGCUGGUGUCCUAGUCACAUGGAAGAUGUGGAGAAAGCAUAAGGACAAUAAGGCCAUGGACCAGACAACAAACACCUCAUUGCAGGACCCAUUUCCUGCCAAUGGUGAUGAUGUGACUUACAGCACUGUUGUCCCCAAGAGGAGGAACCAGCUAAAUGUACAGACCAAGGCAGAACCAGAUGAUAAUGUGGUCUACAGCUCACUAGCCCUACACCACACAGGUCAGUGUUGACUUAUCUUCUCUCUCAUGUACCUACACAGAUGAUGCUAAUCUCUCAACAAA